CCUUGUACACACCGCCCGUCACACCACGAAAGCUGGUUACACCAGAAAUAGUUGUGCUAACCCGUAAGGGAGGCAGACUCUUAAGGUGAAACCAGUGAUUGGGGUG
RNAcentral lists this ribosomal RNA (106 nucleotides) under uncultured bacterium. RNAcentral describes it as "partial 16S ribosomal RNA". It matches the Rfam family "Bacterial small subunit ribosomal RNA", at positions 1379 to 1482 of the family's 1533-position model. The record is from RNAcentral.